RNAcentral lists this ribosomal RNA (441 nucleotides) under uncultured bacterium. Its description in RNAcentral is "partial 16S ribosomal RNA". It matches the Rfam family "Bacterial small subunit ribosomal RNA", at positions 338 to 795 of the family's 1533-position model. The record is from RNAcentral.
CCUACGGGGGGCAGCAGUGGGGGAUAUUGCACAAUGGGGGAAACCCUGAUGCAGCGACGCCGCGUGGGUGAAGAAGUAUUUCGGUAUGUAAAGCCCUAUCAGCAGGGAAGAAAGAAGACGGUACCUGACUAAGAAGCCCCGGCUAACGACGUGCCAGCAGCCGCGGUAAUACGUAGGGGGCGAGCGUUAUCCGGAUCCACGGGGUGUAAAGGGAGCGUAGGCGGCCGUGCAAGCCAGGAGUGAAAGCCCGGGGCCCAACCCCGGGACUGCUCUUGGAACUGUGCGGCUGGAGUGCGGGAGGGGCAGGCGGAAUUCCUGGUGUAGCGGUGAAAUGCGUAGAUAUCAGGAGGAACACCGGCGGCGAAGGCGGCCUGCUGGACCGCGACUGACGUUGAGGCUCGAAGGCGUGGGGAGCGAACAGGAUUAGAUACCCUUGUAGUC